This is a non-coding RNA of Odocoileus virginianus texanus, 875 nucleotides long. The record is from RefSeq and is a predicted model, not a curated record. Lineage: Eukaryota; Metazoa; Chordata; Mammalia; Artiodactyla; Cervidae.
AAACGAGUAAGGUCAGCUUAUCAGGUCCCUAAGUACUACCUGGUUAAUGCGACCUUGGCUUCCCUGGGACCGGACUCUUUUCCCCACUCCUCCAUAGCCCUGUGCGUGCCUCUUACCCUAGAGCCUCAACCACGGUCGUCUUCCCUGCUGCUUCCUUUCUUCCCGACCACAGGGCCAGUUAACUCGGAACUCUUCCUGCGCCACGUUCCUGGAUGGCUCCGCCCACUUUUGCGCCCCCUGGCUUGGCUGGCGCUCCGGGCACCGCGAGGGGGUGCCCAGACACCCCUGUACUGCGCUCUGCAGGAAGGCAUUGAGCCCCUCAGCGGGAGGUACUUCGCCAACUGCCGUGUGGAGGAGGUGCCCCCAGCCGCCAGAGACGACCGCGCAGCUCACCGGCUGUGGGAGGCCAGCAGGAAGCUAGCAGGGCUUGGGCCUGGGGAGGAUGCCGAAUCGGAUGAAGAUUCCCAGUCUGAGGACCCGGGGACUCCAUCCUCUCCAAGCAGCCCCCACCCCGAGGAGCCCACGGCUUCCGAACUCUACCCCAGCCCUCAGAAUUCAACAGACAGGUCUACGGUCAAGCGCCGGAUUCCGGUUAAAGCUGAACUUGAGCCUCAGGCUUGCUAACUGCCCCCCUACCCCAAGACGCCGCCCCCCACACACACACACACAGACCGGGCAGCUUUCCAGGGCACCUGGUGGGCCUUUAAAACCUUAGCGGUGUGCUGGGCCACGCACUGGGCAUGGAGAGAGUUCCAUUUUCGCCUCCAUGGUUACUUUCCGGGGUUUCCGAGGUAUGUCCUGGACAGCUCGUUUCCUGGCGGAAGGAAAUAAAGGGUGAUUAUUCCUCCCUGAGAGGAACGGUAACCCCAGAUUGA